Long non-coding RNA from Hydra vulgaris (swiftwater hydra), 515 nucleotides. RefSeq lists it as uncharacterized. The record is from RefSeq and is a predicted model, not a curated record. NCBI's taxonomy places the organism in Eukaryota, Metazoa, Cnidaria, Hydrozoa, Anthoathecata, Hydridae.
AAAAAUAAUAGAUCUUGCGACUUUUAUACUGGCCUUACAUCUGUCAAUGUGUUUCAUCAGUUAGUGCAGUUUCACCAUUAAUCAAAAGAGAUAAAGUGAUAUUAAAAAAACAUUUACUUCUGUUUUUUGAAAUUUAAAAAAAUCCUUAACUACCUGGACCAAAACAAAUGUAAUGCUGCAAAGAUGAAUUUUUAAUGAUGCUAAUACUUGAAUUAUUGACAGCUGAUUUUGCUGACAGGUGAAUCAAUUGCAAUUGAUGGAAUAUCUUUAAAAUGCUGAGAAUAUUUUCCAACAAUUAUGUCACCUCCAUGAAUAUAAAGGGGAAAGGUGGAAAUAUGCUUUAAGAGCACUAAUUUAUACGGUGAAGUGAAAGGUAUACCUGUAUAAGAUAUGUAAAACUUUUUUAUUCUCAUUUUUUAUAUAUUUAAAAAUUUCUCCUUGUAUUUUUUUUUUCUAAUUCUUUUUUAUUAACAGCUUCUUCUAUUAAAUACGAUGGAGCGACUGAAACUUUAAUU